GAUGAACGCUGGCGGCGUGCCUAAUACAUGCAAGUCGAGCGAACGGACGAGAAGCUUGCUUCUCUGAUGUUAGCGGCGGACGGGUGAGUAACACGUGGAUAACCUACCUAUAAGACUGGGAUAGCUUCGGGAAACCGGAGCUAAUACCGGAUAAUAUUUUGAACCGCAUGGUUCAAAAGUGAAAGACGGUCUUGCUGUCACUUAUAGAUGGAUCCGCGCUGCAUUAGCUAGUUGGUAAGGUAACGGCUUACCAAGGCAACGAUGCAUAGCCGACCUGAGAGGGUGAUCGGCCACACUGGAACUGAGACACGGUCCAGACUCCUACGGGAGGCAGCAGUAGGGAAUCUUCCGCAAUGGGCGAAAGCCUGACGGAGCAACGCCGCGUGAGUGAUGAAGGUCUUCGGAUCGUAAAACUCUGUUAUUAGGGAAGAACAUAUGUGUAAGUAACUGUGCACAUCUUGACGGUACCCAAUCAGAAAGCCACGGCUAACUACGUG
Molecule: ribosomal RNA, 497 nt
Filed under: uncultured bacterium
Lineage: Bacteria
Description: partial 16S ribosomal RNA
Rfam family: Bacterial small subunit ribosomal RNA
Source: RNAcentral